CCUACGGGUGGCAGCAGUGGGGGAUAUUGCACAAUGGGGGGAACCCUGAUGCAGCGACGCCGCGUGGGUGAAGGAGUAUUUCGGUAUGUAAAGCCCUAUCGGCAGGGAAGAAAUUGGACGGUACCUGACUAAGAAGCCCCGGCUAACUACGUGCCAGUAGCCGCGGUAAUACGUAGGGGGCAAGCGUUAUCCGGAUUCACUGGGUGUAAAGGGAGCGUAGACGGCCAUGCAAGCCAGGGGUGAAAGCCCGGGGCCCAACCCCGGGACUGCCCUUGGAACUGCAUGGCUGGAGUGCGGGAGGGGCAGGCGGAAUUCCUGGUGUAGCGGUGAAAUGCGUAGAUAUCAGGAGGAACACCGUCGGCGAAGGCGGCCUGCUGGACCGCGACUGACGUUGAGGCUCGAAAGCGUGGGGAGCGAACAGGAUUAGAUACCCUGGUAGUC
Molecule: ribosomal RNA, 441 nt
Filed under: uncultured bacterium
Lineage: Bacteria
Description: partial 16S ribosomal RNA
Rfam family: Bacterial small subunit ribosomal RNA
Source: RNAcentral